Molecule: non-coding RNA, 3993 nt
Organism: Oryzias latipes (Japanese medaka)
Lineage: Eukaryota; Metazoa; Chordata; Actinopteri; Beloniformes; Adrianichthyidae
Source: RefSeq, a predicted model, not a curated record
GCUUGUUUUAAACCAAUUUUUUUUUUUAAAAAGUCAUUUUAUAGGACAGUUUCUGCAAAGCGGCAAUAAUUGAAUAUAAAUUCACCUCUGAGUUGUGUCAUAGGCACAGAGCAACUUCACCUCCCUUCCCUCCCCAUUACGGAUGGCUCUCUGUUUACAUGUUAACUUACAGCCCCUCACAGCUUCAACCUAACAUUAGCAGUGCAGCAAAAAUGGCGAGAAAUAUAGGAGCUAAAUGGAUCUACAAGUAGCAGGGAGCUUGUGGCCCACCCAGCGUAUUUUCUACAUAUCAAAUACACUCUUUUUCUCCCUGCUUUUUUCUGUCUGCUCCUGAUUUACUACAAUGUCAAUAAAGAAACACUCAGAAAUGCAAUCUUGAGCUUAAUUUUCUUUAUGUAUGUCUGCCAUCAUCAGAAAAUGUCACAAGAACAUUGUAAAAUGCCGAAAACAUGGUUUUCAUCAGAGUGGGUCUUUAAUAUCCCUUCUGGAAAAAAAAAAAAAAUCAGAAAACUUUUAAUCUCUCUGUGAAUCUCAAACAAGACACUUUAGAGGAGAAACGGCUGGCUCCAACUAUGCAGUGUUCUGUUUGGUUCACCUGCACACUCUUAGCAUAGCUACAGACAUCAGGACACAGUUUUCUACCUCAGAAAAAAAUACAUAUUUCCUGCUUCAGGAUAAAAAAAGCCACCAGAGGUUGAGAUACACUUUUGGAGUUAAAAUGACACUUUCAUUCAGUGAAAUCGAAGUUUGUUUCAUGUGAAUAGAGAAAAGUCGACACAUAGAAACAAUUAAUAUUGCUUAAAAUCUUGGAAUGGAUACUGAAACAACUGACUAAGCAGCAUGACUUUAGCUUUGAUUUAGUAAAAAAAAAAUUUCGGCGCAGCCUUGCAGAGAUGUGUAACUGCAGCUGAAAAGAGCGAGCACAAAAGCCGCAGCAAGGCAAGAUUUACGGUACACAUCCGCUUCAUUUAGUUUUUUUUUCUUGUAUUUAGUCGUUCUUUUGAUUUAUUCACUUCUGCGAUCCUGAUUGUUAAAAUGAGAUUAUCAGCAGGGUUCAAUGGAGAAGCUUAUGCAUAUUAAUUAGGAAUUGACGACAGUUUUAGAGAUUUCCUCACCAGAGUUUAAAGUCAAAAUAGGCUCAAACAGUGCCUGCAGUUUCAUUCUUUUAAUUACAAGAAGGUCGUUUAAAAAGCUUCCUUUUAUAAGCAGAAGUGAAUGGUGAUAGUUCGUGUUUGGGCCAUUGACAGUAUAAAAGAACUGGAAAAAGUGACUCCUCCCCUCUAGCGUUCCAAUCAGGAAGUACCCGCUGGUUCCAAUAGGUGAAAAUUCCAUAGACUAGAAUUGACUUUAUUUCGUUGGAGGGAAAGGUAAGGAAUUUCUUAUGGGUGACAUCUAGGAAUGCCACAGUAGUUGCCCACAGUUUUUUCUAUUGAACUGAAUCGUGGGGAAAGUAAAUCGUUGCAUCCCUACUGAAUACCAGUAUAUGUUGACUGUGUCAAAUAUGUGUAUCGAUUUAUUAUUUAUUGUUUUAUUACAUUACACCAGGUUUAGUAAAAAGCUGAAAGUUUUUCUUUAUUAAUUGCUUAUUCGCAAAUUAAAAAAAAGAUUUAUUUUUCUGAAUUUUUGUUUUUCCCUGUUGUUUUUUUGUUAUACCCAUGCCAUAUAUCAUACCAAAACAAAAUUGUGAUGCAAAAUCAAGAUUGGAACCGAAUCGUGAAUAAAAAGCAUGGUUGCAUCCCUACUCACACUCACUUGGUCUAGUUUUCACAUAUAGUCAAUGAUUUGGCCACAGAAGGCGUGAUUCAUGAGCACAGCUGUCAUGUAUGUUUUUCCAACACAACUUUAUGUGGUUCACUUGAUCAUUCCUACCCUCCUCGUAACUCAUAUAAAUGUAACUGUCAUCUUUGUGCUCAUGUCGCACACAAGGGUGAUCUAAAAAAAAAAAACGGCAUCAUCCAUCAAACACGUCCAUCCAAAGGAAUGUUUGUGGAAACCACCUUUUUCUUUUUUUCUCUCUGUUCACCAAUUUGAUAUAAAAACAAACAAACAUGAUACCUUAUACAGUUUUUUAAACCUCAUUUUGCUCUUGUCAAUUUCUCUUUUUCUUUUUGUGCAAAAGUUCUGUUUUACUGUAAAUACAGGAUAAUUGGAAAGGUUGUGUAAAAAGGUUAUGAUAUGUGAAUCACUUAGUCCCACAAAUUCUUAGAAUCUGCGUGUUAUAAGCUGAAUAUAAGAGAGAAACAACAUUUCUGUUGUUUUUACUGGUUCUUUAUUUUUCUAUUCUUGCCUUAACCCUUUCAGCAUCUCUCCUAGUUUGUCUUGUCAUUGUUUUAGGCCAUAACUUGUCUUGAGUGUGUAAAUACAAACCUCACCGAAUCUCAAAGGAAACUGAAAACUCUGCUGACGUGCGAGUGACUUUUCCAGCAGACUUUGAAUAAAUUGUUCCCAGCACACUCUCACCCUUAUAAGAUCUGAACAGUAAAACGGGAUGAGAUCCACACAAAAAUGGAAAUAUGUACGUAUCUAAAGAAAAAAACUGUUGUAGAAAAUGAUUUUUUUCCCUUGAUUCAGAUCUUAAGAAACUCGAUAAAAACAGGGUUUUGUGUUCUUUUUGGACUAAAAAGUUGCAGAUCUUUUAGCUUGUUAAUGUGUUUAAUUGUCAACCAUGAUGGAGGAAUCACAGAUGUUUUCCUUGUCUCUUCUUCAGUGUGGUUAACAUAGUUGUACUAAAAGGGUUAAGUGUCAUUUAAAGACUGUACUGUGAUAAGAGUUUGUUGUAAAGAAAAAAAAAUCUUUGGUUAAUAAACAUUUAAUUUUAUUAUUAUUAUUUUAUUCCUGGUAUUUGUAACAGAAAAUGUUGGAAGGCAGGUUGUCUCAAUAUAAUAAAGGAAGCCCAUUGAGAUGACUAUUGUUGUAAACAGUGGGCUUUAUAAAUAAAAUUGAAUUGAAUUGAAUUGAACAUAAGGUAAACAUGAAGUUGACCUGAUUUCAUCUCAUUUGAAAGCAACACUUCUAAGCCUCAACAAAGAAUACCUGCCAAACAUACAGUCCAGGAAAAAAGUCUUUCGUUUCCACUUUUAUCAGUGCUGCCAUUUUUGAAUUCCACCAGGAUGAGUGUGAAAGUCUAAAUGGCAGCUGAGAUGAGAAGAUCCUUCCAAUGGUUUAAUGGAGUUCUGUUGUUGCAAUAACGCGGUCCGGUGCUGCAAAGAUUUGAGAGAAAGACAAAGUUUUACUACAAAUUGCCACAACAAAUCGAAUAUGUAAGAUAUAAAAGAAGAAAAGUAUAACAGUUCACCUAUCUUAACUUUUGUCAAAAGUUUUGUUAUUCCAGUUUUAAGUAACAACAAUCAAUGGAACUGUCACCUACUGCUGCAUUCGCAGCACCGGUAACCGACAUCCGCUUAAAGGAGUUGAACAUCAACAUCGUUGACAGUUCGGACAGGAUCAACCAGGAACACGAACUGACCCAGUCACGGAGCCUCCUCUAGCCAGCUAGACUUUGAACGCUACAACCACCCUUUGGCAGUCCACGCAGCCGGUUCACACCAUCACCUACACCCAGGUUUAACCAACCAUGGAUGUCGGCUCAGAAUACGACUACACCCAGGCCACUCGUUAACAAGACGAGAAAGCAAUGAGAAAGCAACUCCAGUCACCGAAGUCCUCAUGGUGGAUGACACCGUUGUAUAUGGUUCGGAGGAGAUCUACCCUGAAUCCAAUCUGAACUGCCAGCUUUGAACGCAACAACCAUCAUCCAGCAGACUUCGCAGCUGCUCUACAACAUCGGCAGACUUCGAAAGCUUCUGACGACCUAUGUCCUGAUCCCCAUCGUUGUAGUGGGUCUCGCAAUUUGCCUAGCUCUCUGGAUCUGGAGCAUGUAAGGGAGUACAAGGAGAUGCGCUCCUGGUUGUACCUUUCUGAAAUCUUCAUUUUUUUACAUUUUAUCUUGUCCUCUGGAAAUUAAUUUGUUUUCCAAAAUGUGUUUUCUUUACA